UUUCCGGUUGAUCCCGCCGGACCUGACUGCUAUCGGAUUGAUACUAAGCCAUGCGAGUCUUUGUAGUAAUACAAGGCAGACGGCUCAGUAACACGUAGUCAACCUACCCUAUGGACAAGAAUAAUCUCGGGAAACUGGGCAUAAUUCUUGAUAGAUCAUAAUGCCUGGAAUGGUUUAUGGUUAAAAUGAUUCGUCGCCAUAGGAUGGGACUGCGGCCUAUCAGCUUGUUGGUGAGGUAAUGGCCCACCAAGGCGAUUACAGGUACGGGCUCUGAGAGGAGAAGCCCGGAGAUGGGUACUGAGACACGGACCCAGGCCCUAUGGGGCGCAGCAGGCGAGAAAACUUUGCAAUGUGCGAAAGCACGACAAGGUUAAUCCGAGUGAUUUCUGCUAAAGAAAUCUUUUGCCAGUCAUAAAACCACUGGUGAAUAAGGGGUGGGCAAGUUCUGGUGUCAGCCGCCGCGGUAAAACCAGCACCUCAAGUGGUCAGGAUGAUUAUUGGGCCUAAAGCAUCCGUAGCCGGCUUUGUUAGUUUUCGGUUAAAUCCAUGUGCUCAACGCAUGGGCUGCCGAAAAUACUGCAUAGCUAGGGAGUGGGAGAGGUAGACGGUACUCAGUAGGAAGGGGUAAAAUCCUUUGAUCUAUUGAUGACCACCUGUGGCGAAGGCGGUCUACCAGAACACGUUCGACGGUGAGGGAUGAAAGCUGGGGGAGCAAACCGGAUUAGAUACCCGGGUAGUCCCAGCUGUAAACGAUGCAGACUCGAUGAUGCAUUGGCAUAAUAGCCAGUGCAGUGUCGCAGGGAAGCCGUUAAGUCUGCCGCCUGGGAAGUACGUACGCAAGUAUGAAACUUAAAGGAAUUGGCGGGGGAGCACCACAAGGGGUGAAGCCUGCGGUUCAAUUGGAUUCAACGCCGGGA
This 917-nucleotide ribosomal RNA is filed under the name uncultured archaeon. RNAcentral's name for it is "SSU rRNA". It matches the Rfam family "Archaeal small subunit ribosomal RNA", at positions 1 to 923 of the family's 1478-position model. The record is from RNAcentral.